AUACGGAGGGUCCAAGCGUUAUCCGGAAUCAUUGGGUUUAAAGGGUCCGCAGGCGGUCAAUUAAGUCAGAGGUGAAAGCCCAUCGCUCAACGAUGGAACUGCCUUUGAUACUGGUUGACUUGAGUUAUACGGAAGUAGAUAGAAUAAGUAGUGUAGCGGUGAAAUGCAUAGAUAUUACUUAGAAUACCGAUUGCGAAGGCAGUCUACUACGUAUAUUCUGACGCUGAGGGACGAAAGCGUGGGGAGCGAACAGGAUUAGAAACCCUAGUAGUCC
This 274-nucleotide ribosomal RNA is filed under the name uncultured bacterium. RNAcentral's name for it is "partial 16S ribosomal RNA". It matches the Rfam family "Bacterial small subunit ribosomal RNA", at positions 523 to 796 of the family's 1533-position model. The record is from RNAcentral.